AAAAGUUUAGUUAAUAUAUAUAUAUAACAUUGGUAUGUCAAACCAAAAUAAUUUUUUUUUAAUAACUUUUG
This 71-nucleotide transfer RNA is filed under the name Stimulopalpus japonicus. RNAcentral describes it as "tRNA-Asp". The record is from RNAcentral. Lineage: Eukaryota; Metazoa; Arthropoda; Insecta; Psocodea; Amphientomidae.